Molecule: long non-coding RNA, 3556 nt
Organism: Felis catus (domestic cat)
Lineage: Eukaryota; Metazoa; Chordata; Mammalia; Carnivora; Felidae
Exons: 2
Source: RefSeq, a predicted model, not a curated record
UCUGUCUCCCUCUCUCUCUGCCUCUCUCCUGCUUGUGCUCUGUCUCUGUCUCUCUCAAAUAUAUAUAAACAUUUUUUUUAAGUUGUAUUUUAAUAACUCAGUGCUUCUCAAAUUUUAAUGUGCACCUAAGAUUCUGGGUUUUUAAUAAGAUUCCAGGUGAUGCGGUCCCUUAGGUCUGUAGGUCCUUAGAGUAACACUUCAGGUAGCAAGGAUAUGUAUAUUUUAUUGUUUCCAAAAUGUUCUCGAGUUUCUUACAAAGUGGUGUAUGCCUAAAAGAAGUGUCUUGACAGUGCCGGAGGGUAAGGCUUGGGAGCAGAUUGUGGGAAGCCGUCUAUCAAAACUCAGCUUCUAAGUUGAGUGAGGAGAAAGUAAAGGUGAAGAAUCUGCCCGAUGGCAAAUGGUGACAAAUGUUUAAGGAUGAACAGAAAACAGUGUUAUCAGAGCCCCUCACCCCAGGACAGGGUCCACUGGGAAGACGUCACAACCAGCAACACUUCUUGGUAGAAGAGAUCUAGGACUGGUUAGAGAACAACAUGUUCAGAAGCUGUUUUCCUACAGGCUUAUUUGCCACUUCCUGGGUUUAUAGUGUGGUCCAAAGGUCUUAAACAGUGGGACAGAACCAGGUUUACUAACUAUUCCUUUUGGUUUGGCUUGAAACUAUAAUAUGACUAGCCUUUCCCCUUCGAGAAGCUUUGAGGAUGAGAGGAGGAUUUGGCCAGAACCUACAAGAACAGAUGAAAAUUGUAGUUCUGAGUCCUGAGAUUUCUUACCUCUGGUUGGGAGAGGCCACCAUUGGCUGUCCAACUCUCUUCUUCGUUCUGGUUAGCUGAGGUGAUAGGAUUUCCCCUUUGAGAGCAGGGACUGAAGGAAGCAGACUGGCCUAUAAAAGGGCAAGUCAGCACACUGUAGCCACAAUAGGUUUAAAGGGUCUUAAAACAUCAAUGAUUUUAUUGGUGGUCGAAUUUUAUUACAUUAAAUACUACUUGCAAUAAGUGGGUCCAGAAACCUUGAUGAUAUAGUUUUACUCCUUGAAAGAGCUGUUAUUCUCAUUCUGAUGGGGUUUGAUCUAUGCCUCAGCAGGACAUUUCUUAAUGAUUUGAAGUCUCACUAUGAAUGUGCAAGGUUUUCUUCUGCCUCUGUUAAAAUCUCAAAAUCAGUACUGUUCCCCACAAUAGCAGGCUUCUGAUUCCAUGUGAGAACCAGUGGUAGUGGCUCUCAAACCUCAGUAAUGUAAACAUUCUAUUCGUUUCCAGUAUUCCCAUACCAUAUAUCCAUUUCACAAGAAAAAGAAGUGUUAGCACUGAGAGACACUUUUGAGUUCAUUUACGUUCAAUUUUAUUUUUAGAUGAGGAAAGUGAAGCCCAGAAAUGAAAAAGGACUUGCCUAAGGUCAUAGAGCUUCAAGCGGCAGAAAUGAAAACAGAAUUUAGGCCUCUCUUAUUCCACUGCACCCAUGCUGCCUCCCCCCAAAUCCCUUGUAUAUUUUGAAAGUAAUUAAAUUCUUACCUGAGCUAGGUUUAAUCCAAGGUUCAGGUUGGUAAAAUAGCAGUAAAGUAAUGCCAGGAAGAGGCAAGACAGAGGAAGAAGAGAUUAUAGCAGGCAAAAUGGGUUGGGGAGGAGGGAUCCAAAUAGAAAAGAACGCAGUGCUGGUAGGAGGGCAGGGAGGAGGGUAUCCUGAGUAACUACUACCAACUGCACAGCUCCUGUUUCUUCCUAAUCCUCCUAGGGGUUUCUCAUAAUUGUCCCCUCUACUCAUGGAUUAUAGUUCCUGACCUGAGAUAAAAUUUCUUAUCCUGUUAUACUCAAGGUGCAGAAGACAGGGUUAAGGGCUCUCCCAGAUAAUUCAAAUGCAUUGUAGAUUGUUAAGAUAGGAAAAACAUUUUUGUCCCACUGAAUAAUUUACUUAAUAUUAUCUGUCACUAGUAUAUGUUUCACCAAGAGUAGUUUCAUUCAUUUUACUAUUAGGUGAUUUUUGUUGUUGUUGUUAGUGGUAAAUACAAAUAGCAAGGUGUACAGGUGACCCAAGGGGUCUUUUGUCACCCUCAAGGUAAAGGCAUCUCUUGAAAAUACUUGAUUUGGUUAUCAAGCACUAAAAAAGCAGUAACUUCAACAUGUGUGAUACUUUUCAAAUCCAUUCAAAAUAGAAAAUAAGAAAUGAGCUUAAAGACUCAUAUGUAAGAUGAUAUGGAAAACGAAAGAAUCAGGUUUGUCUAACACAGAACUUGGUGUGUCCCACUUAGUGGUGGCUUUAGGAGCCAGGGAGGUAAGAUUAAGAACUCCUGUUGGUAUGAAAGUUGAAAAGUGCUGCUUGUAUGGUUCUGCUGCUAGUUAUUUUAAUUUAAUUUUUUACAUAUUCUUCUUUGCCUUGACACAUGUUUUGACUUCUCUAUUGGCCUUACAUUUUUUUGUUUUGUUUUGUUUUCUGGAUUGCCUAUCCAUAAGACCAGGACACUCUACUAUAUUAAAACAUGAAUAAGUUGAUGACUGUUCUUUUCAGAGGCUUGUUUUUCCUUCUCUAUUGCAUCAGAUUCUUGGCAUAGCCUAUAGUUUGGCCAAAGCAAUCCAUUCUAGUGUUCCUGUGUUUAGCUUGUUAAACAUAUUGGCUCUUCAUACUUGGGGCUGUGGAACUAAGUCCAGAAUUAGUUACAUAUUUAUAAACAUUACUCUGCUGAUUCAACAAUACAACAGCAUUACAGGAGGUAUUCCCACCCACUCCUAUGUCCCAACCCAAAUAAAACAUAAAACACUAUAACAAAAUAAUCUUUAGAUAAAAAUCAGGAAGCACAAAAGGAACCUGAAGUUGAUGAUUUGGGUGUCCCUACGUUUGUUCAGUGUCACCUGAUUGCAGUCCUAUUGUUCUUAUUGACACUUGUGAUCCAUAAAGAGCUAAACUUCGCAAAGGCCUAUCUGCUAAAGUCAGGUAAGACACAUUGCAGGGGCUUAAAACUUUCCCACUUACAAAAUGAUAGGGAAGAGAACGAGAAAACAAGGAAUGUUUAACACAGAACAGGUAGGUAACUAAUCUUCAAAAUGCUUUUUCAAGGCAGUCUAAAAAUGAUCUCCAAGCAUAAAAUGUGAGAUGCCUGUUAGAAGUAGAGUAUUAACAACUUGGUUCAAUAGGAUUGUGGAUUGGGUAAUACCUGCAUGACCACUGAAAGGAUCACACCCCACUUCUAAACACUGUUCAUCUUUUUAUUGAAUAUUCUGGUAAAUAUUUCACAUUAAUACAGGCUACAUUAAGUAGAGCCACUAUAUGACAAGAAAUUUACUCAACUUUUUCCUUUUAAGUAUGUAAACAAUUGUACAUGUAUUUACCACCCUAAAAGGUUGAAACAUGUAAUCAUCUAAUUCUCUUCUGCAUACAAGUAGCAUUCAGUAUGUUUAGCCAAAGCACUAAGUUCAAAAUGGCUAAACUAACCAGAGAACAUAAUCAGGUGGAUAGGAAAUCACUUUGUUCUUAUACAAUGGGCAAUCAAAUUUCCAUUGCUAAGCCUCAGAGAGAAUUUCUUAGUUAGGCACAUUAAAAAAAAAAAAAAAAUCCCCAGGGUUCUUCCAAG